UUAGCUCUUGCAUUUCCCCACACCCACCAAACAUACAUUACCUUACUCGUUAUUUUUAUAUUCUUCAAAGAUCAUGGCUGUUGUUACUACUCAGACUGAGAUUGCUACUGCAGUUCCCCCAGCCAAGUUGUUCAAGGCUUUACUCUUUGAAGCUCAUGUCUAUGCCCCUAAAAUUCUCCACCAGUUCAUCAAAAGCAUCGAUAUUCUUCAGGGAGAUGGAGGUGCUGGAACUAUUAAGAAAACCAACUUUGUAGAAGGGUUUGGAGUCUACUUAAAGGUCAAGGUAGAUGCAGUAGAUGAAGCCAACUUGAAAUUCGUCUACACUGCGUUUGAAGGUGAGCCGUGGGUAGAUACGGUAGAAAAAGCUACGUAUGAGACACAAGUAGUAGCUGCUCCUGGCGGAGGAUCCAUCUACAAGGCCACCAACAAGUACUACCCUAAGGGCAACGCUGAGAUCGAUAUCAGCAAAAUCAAGGAUGCUGAAGAAAAAACCGAAGGACUUGUCAAGGCUGUUGAAGCCUAUCUUGUGGCAAAUCCUGAUGCCUGAAACUAAAAUUUCAUAAGCCGUGUCCCAAUUACUGCCCAUCGAUCUUGCUUGUUUCUUUUUCUCUUUUCUACGAGUGUUUUUGGCAUGAUAAUAAAGUUUGUGUGUGCAGUAUUGGGUUGAAUGGAUGGCUUUUAGCAUUUGUAUUUGUUUUUGGAUUUUGGAGAGUGAAAAUGUAAAAUGCCUUGACUUGCAAUAAACAUUCUAUUUCUACUAAUA
Jatropha curcas is the source of this 763-nucleotide non-coding RNA. Lineage: Eukaryota; Viridiplantae; Streptophyta; Magnoliopsida; Malpighiales; Euphorbiaceae. The record is from RefSeq and is a predicted model, not a curated record.